This 34333-nucleotide long non-coding RNA is filed under the name Hordeum vulgare. Its description in RNAcentral is "long non-coding RNA (HVUL_LNC010990)". The record is from RNAcentral. Lineage: Eukaryota; Viridiplantae; Streptophyta; Magnoliopsida; Poales; Poaceae.
CAAGGUGAACUUCGGGGCGGUGACCAAGGUGUGGGGCGCCUGGGCCGAGUCCGCCGCCGCCGCCGCGUCCGGGGUCAAGGUGCGCGUCUCGGUGCUCGCCAAGUCUGAGUUGGUGGCGGCGGCGGCCGAGCCCAAGAGCCCGGUCGCCCUGGCAGCCUUCGACGGCUUCUUCUCUGCUUAACGAGUAGUGUGUGAAUUGAUUCGGAGGAGUUUACCUCUCCCCCAGUGUCAUGUACUGUAACUCCGAUGUGUACAUAACCGUGUGGUUUGCUGAUUUGCAACAAGGAAGAAGUGUGCUUUUUGUACCGCUCUUGGUACCUUCUUGGAGGGCAGAUAUGCCUAUGCGUUUUGCCAUUUUAUCUUUGAAAUUUCGUGUCAAGCUGCCAACAGACUAGUCUGGUUGUCUUGGCAUACUCGAGUGGUUUUGCCGACUGCUGAUGCUUGUUUGAAGCCCCAACCUUCAUCCAAUCCCUUCAAAUCUUUAUUUAUCCCUAAUACAUUAGGUAGAAGUAGUGUAUUGAGUAUUGAGAAAAAUGCAUUAUAAUUUGAGGAGAAAUAUGGGGAUGAAACAUGUCAAAUACACUAGAAUAAAAUGGUGUUAUGGGAUGUGUGGUGAUCGAGUAGUUUGACCAGAAUAAUCCCCAUAAAUUUCCUAAAAUACACUAGUACCAACGAGUAGUUUGACCAGAAUAAUCCCCAUAAAUUUCCUAAAAUACACUAGUACCAAACAAGUCCUUGAUGGUGGCACCCCGACACAGCAAUAGCUCAUCAUAUGAAACCAAAAUGGGGUUAUUAUGGCCCGGUUUAAAGGCGUUAAACAGGGAUGCAAACAUGUUCGCCAAAUCAGCGGCGAUGAGGACCGAAGACCGCCGCGUCAAGUGGCAGGGCUGAAACCGCAUCACCUCCAUACAGGUUUACUAGAUGUGAGAAAAUUCGUUUGGUAGCGUACACGGAGGUCUAGUUUGCACUCACACGAAUCAUAAAGCAGCUCAUAGCAUGGCUAGUUAGAGCAUCUUCAACAAACGAGGCUGGGCGCGCGUAACGACCGUUUUUGCGACGCUGCAAAUUUUUAACACGUCAACAUGUCGCUUCAACAGACGCUAUAACAAAUCAAGCGCGCGUUCAGCUGAUGCACAUAUAAGAUGAUCAAACAUUCAAAAUAUGCAAAGUUUGCACAAACAAAAUGAGCACAAGCAAGUUCAUGACAAACAAGUUCACACAAAUAAAUUAAACAUGAACAAUCAUUCUUCAUCCUCUUCUUUCCGCAAAAAAGAAAAAUUCUUUAUCCUCUUCCUCAUCGUUGGCCUCUUUCGAUUUGUCCGUUUCUUCUUCUGAUUUUUCAUCCUCUUGUUUGUUCUCUUUCUCAUUGAAAAGUCGAAUGGUGUUUGAACUAUCAAUAAAGUAGCAGUUCAUAGCAUGGCUAGUUAGAGCAUCUUCAACAAACGAGGCUAGGCACGCGUAACGACCGUUUUUGUGCUUCAUCAGACGCUGCAAAUUUUUAACACGUCAACAGACGCUAUAACAAAUCAAGCGCGCGUUCAGCUGACGCACAUAUAAGAUGAUCAAACAUUCAAAAUAUGCAAAGUUUGCACAAACAAAAUAAGCACAAGCAAGUUCAUGACAAACAAGUUCACACAAAUAAAUUAAACAUGAACAAUCAUUCUUCAUCCUCUUCUUUCUGCAAAAAAAAUAAUUCUUUAUCCUCUUCCUCAUCGUUGGCCUCUUUCGAUUUGUCCGUUUCUUCUUCUGAUUUUUCAAUCUCUUGUUUGUUCUCCUUUUCAUUGAAAAGUCGAACGGUGUUUGAACUAUCAAUAAAGGUAUCAUACAAGGCAUGUGAGGCACACCGAAAACUCCCAUCCAUCCAUGCCAUCGAAAGCAUGUGAGAACAACUAUGCCAUCGAAAGCAUGUGAGAACAACUAAAAUCAGACUACAUAUGCGCACAUUUGCCAACAACAACAAAAUAAAAACAAAAAUUGUACCUUGUGAGCAUUUCAUCAAGGAUUAUGUGUGCAUUGGCCGCCGACGCAACAAAUUGCGAGGUUUUCACCGCUUCGCGCGGCGGAGGUACGGCCGGCUUCACUCGUGUCUUCUUCUUUAUUACCGCUUUCCNNNNNNNNNNNNNNNNNNNNNNNNNNNNNNNNNNNNNNNNNNNNNNNNNNNNNNNNNNNNNNNNNNNNNNNNNNNNNNNNNNNNNNNNNNNNNNNNNNNNUUGAGGGCCAAGGCAGGAGAGCCACACGGGGCCCACAAGCCCUGUAGCCGCCACCACGGGGGGGGGGGGCUACCAGUCUUGUGGACCCCCUGGAGCUCCCCUGCCCUAGCUCUUUCGCCUAUAAAUUCCCUAAAAUCCCAGAAAAAAAUCAGGGCAUCCACGAAAACACUUUUCCGCCGCCGCAAGCUUCCGUUUCCGCGAUAUCUCAUCUGGAGACCCUUCCCGGUGCCCUGCCGAAGGGGACUUUGGAGUUGGAGGGCUUCUACAUCAACAUCAUCACCUCUCCAAUGACUCGUGAGUAGUCCACUUCAGACCUACACGUCCGUAGCUAGUAGCUAGAUGGAUUCUUCUCUCUCUUGGAUCUUCAAUACAAAGUUCUCCAUGAUCUUCAUGGAGAUCUAUCCUAUGUAAUCCUCUUUGGUGGUGUGUUUGUCGAGAUCCGAUGAAUUGUGGAUUUGUGAUCAGAUUAUCUAUGAAUUGUAUUUGAGUCUUUGCUGAUUUCUUAUAUGAUGAUUUGAUAUCCUUGUAAGUCUCUCCGAGUCUUGGUUUUGUUUGGCCAACUAGAUCUAUGAUUCUUGCAAUGGGAGAAGUGCUUGGUUUUGGGUUCAUACCGUGUGGUGACCUUUCCCAGUGACAGAAGGGGCAGCAAGGCACACAUCAUGUUGUUGCCAUCAAGGGUAAUAAGAUGGGCUUUUAUCAUAGAUAUGAGAUUGUCCAUCUACAUCAUGUCAUCUUGCUUAAGGCGUUACUCUGUUCUUAUGAACCUAAAACACUAGAUGCAUGCUGGAUAGCGGUCGACGUGUGGAGUAAUAGUAGUAGAUGCAGAAAGUAUCGGUCUACUUGCUUUGGACGUGAUGCCUAUAGAUAUAAUCAUUGCCAUAGAUAACAUCACGACUUUGCGCGGUUCUAUCAAUUGCUCGACAGUAAUCCGUUCACCCACGGUCUAAUUGCUUUCAUGAGAGAAGCCACUAGUGAACACCACGGCCCCGGGUCUAUCCAUAACUAUCGUCUCCACUUCCACUUUUACUUUGCUUUUUUACCUUUUUGCUUUCAGUUCUCACUUUGCAAACAAUCUAUAAGGGAUUGACAACCCCUUCAUAGCGUUGGGUGCAAGCUCUUUGUGUUUGUGCAGGUACUUGUGACUCGACGCGAUCCUCCCACUGGAUCGAUACCUUGGUUCUCAAACUGAGGGAAAUACUUACCGCCGCUGUGCUACAUCACCCUUUCCUCUUCAAGGGAACACCAACACAAGGCUCCAAGGCCGCGGGGAAAUCCUUUGCAUAUUUGCCAAGGAAGUCCCUAUAGGCGUAGCCAGUAGCAGCAGGAUUCCUGGCGCCGUUGUCAGGGAAGGUCUGUUGUCACAGUAGCAGAAGGAUUUCUAGAGCCGUUGCCGGGGAGGAGGAUCGCUUGCCGAGGAGUAUCAAGACAAGAAUAAUCUCCCGUCAACACGCCUAUUUCUAGCAUGGGGAAGGGAGAUCAAGUCAAGAUCUAUCAAAGUAGGUGUCACAAACUCAUCUCUUGCAUUUACUUUUUUUGCCAGUUGCCUCUCGUUUUCCUCUCCCCCACUUCACAUUUGCCGUUUUCAUUUGCCUUUCUCCUUUGCCGUUUUAUUUUUCCUUUUCUCCUUUGCCGUUUUCAUUUGCCUUUCUCCUUUGCCGUUUUCUUUUUUCCUUUUGCCGUUCUCUUUUGCCCGUUUCACUCACUUUCUUCCUGCUCGUUUGUGUGUGGGAUAGUCCAUCAAUGGCUAGACCCACCACUCCAAACGAUACCCCUGAGAACGAAGUUCUCAGUUUCAAGCAGAAUGAGGAAGAAAAUUUAAAGGACACUUGGUACAGGAUUUGCAAUGCUCAAAGUAGAUCUACUCGUAAGCAGUCCACUACCGUUCUUCUUCGCAGUUCUUAUGUUGGAAUCUCUCCUUGGAAUAGGUAUAUUCUUGAUACCAUCGUAGGCGGGAAUUUUUUGGGGAUCCAUACCGUUGACUCCUAUGGAGCUAUCAUGAAUUUGGUAGGCUCACCCCCGCUCAUGGUUAAUGGAACUACCUUGACCUUGGAACACGUGAUGCAAAGGCUUGACGCUAUUGAAAACAAAAUUGCCACAAUUGAAUUUAUUGAGGGUUUGGAUGGAAAGAUCCACAAUCAAAUUACUCAGUACGGAUCCAAAGUGGGAAUGGUUUUGAAAAAUUUAAGGGAGAAGGAACCUAUAGUUAAUGAUUCCUCUAGAAUUGGCAAACUAGAAGAUGUCAUAACCAACUUGGGUUGUGCUUUUGCCGCUGUGCAAAAUACUCCAAAUCUCACUCUCAAAAAGACCGUCAAGUCUGUUUUUGUUCCUAAAGCUAGUGGUGAGUCAUCCAAUAAAUAUGAAGACCUUAAGAUGAUAAAUGAUCACGCUACUUAUGGUUUGAGCACCAAAGAUGACUAUACGUGAUUCCAUCACCUUUUGCCUAGCUAAGGGCGUUAAACAAUAGCGCAUGUUGGGAGGCAACCCAACGAAUCUAUCAUUUUUCUUUCUAUUUUGUGUUUUCCACACUUUCAUAAUUCUGUUAUGAUUGUGUUUUUUGUGUUUCUUUUUGCGUUUGUGCCAAGUGAAACCGUUAUGAUUAAUCUUGGGGAUGAUCGUUUGGUCAUGCUGGAAAAGACAGAAACUUUCUGUUAACGAAAAGAAUUUUCAUUUUUUUUAUGUAAGAGAUUUUGAGUUGAUUCUUUUUUGCUUCUGAUUGCUACGCACAUUCUUCAGACUGUUGUAAUUUUUCAGAAUUUUGGAAGUACCAGAAGUAUACGAAGUAUACAGAUUGCUACAGACUGGUCUGCUGUUAACAGAUUCUGUUUUUGUUGAGUUGGUUGCUUAUUUUGAUGAAACUAUGGAUAGUACCGGGGGGUAUUAGCCAUGGAAGAUUGAAAAUACAGUAACCCAACAUCAACAUAAGUAGAAUUUAUUAAGUUUUCUACAGUACCUAAGGAAGUGGUGGUUUGCUUUCUUAUACUAAUGAUAUCACGAGUUUCUGUUUAAAUUUCGUGUUGUGAAGUUUUCAAGUUUUGGGUGAAGUUCUUAUGGACAAAGAGAUAAAGAGUGGCAAGAUCUCAAGCUUGGGGAUGCCCAAGGCACCCCAAGUUGAUUCAAGGAUGCCGUAAAAGCCUAAGCUUGGGGAUGCCCCGGGAAGGCAUCCCCUNNNNNNNNNNNNNNNNNNNNNNNNNNNNNNNNNNNNNNNNNNNNNNNNNNNNNNNNNNNNNNNNNNNNNNNNNNNNNNNNNNNNNNNNNNNNNNNNNNNNUUGAGGGCCAAGGCAGGAGAGCCACAGGGGGCCCACAAGCCCUGUAGCCGCCACCAGGGGGGCCGGCGGCUACCAGGCUUGUGCCCGCCUGGAGCUCCCCUGCCCUAGCUCUUUCGCCUAUAAAUUCCCUAAAAUCCCAGAAAAUAUUAGGGCAUCCACGAAAACACUUUUCCGCCGCCGCAAGCUUCCGUUUCCGCGAGAUCUCAUCUGGAGACCCUUCUCGGUGCCCUGCCGGAGGGGACUUUGGAGUUGGAGGGCUUCUACAUCAACAUCAUCGCCUCUCCAAUGACUCGUGAGUAGUCCACUUCAGACCUACGGGUUCGUAGUUAGUAGCUAGAUGGCUUCUUCUCUCUCUUGGAUCUUCAAUACAAAGUUCCCCAUGAUCUUCAUGGAGAUCUAUCCGAUGUAAUCCUCUUUGGCGGUGUGUUUGUCGAGAUCCGAUGAAUUGUGGAUUUGUGAUCAGAUUAUCUAUGAAUUAUAUUUGAGUCUUUGCUGAUUUCUUAUAUGCAAGAUUUGAUAUCCUUGUAAGUCUCUCCGAGUCUUGGGUUUUGUUUGGCCAACUAGAUCUAUGAUUCUUGCAAUGGGAGAAGUGCUUGGUUUUCGGUUCAUACCGUGUGGUGACCUUUCCCAGUGACACAAGGGGCAGCAAGGCACGCAUCAUGUUGUUGCCAUCAAGGGUAACAAGAUGGGCUUUUAUCAUAGAUAUGAGAUUGUCCAUCUACAUCAUGUCAUCUUGCUUAAGGCGUUACUCUGUGAUACGUCUCCAUCGUAUCAACUUUUCCAAACUCUUUUGCCCUUGUUUUGGACUCUAAUUUGCAUGAUUUGAAUGGAACUAACCCGCACUGACGCUGUUUUCAGCAGAAUUGCCAUGAUGUUGUUUUUGUGCAGAAAUGGAAGUUCUCAGAACGUCCUGAAAAAUUACGUNAUACGUCUCCAUCGUAUCAACUUUUCCAAACUCUUUUGCCCUUGUUUUGGACUCUAAUUUGCAUGAUUUGAAUGGAACUAACCCGCACUGACGCUGUUUUCAGCAGAAUUGCCAUGAUGUUGUUUUUGUGCAGAAAUGGAAGUUCUCAGAACGUCCUGAAAAAUUACGUAGAAUUUUUCUGGAAAAUAUGAAAAAUACGUGCGCAAAGAUCCAUCGGAGGGGAUGGGCCAGUGGGCCACAAGCCCUGUUGCCGCGGCCUCCCCCAUGGCCGCGGCGACCAAGCUUGUGGGGCCCACGUGGGUCUGCCGCCCCCAACUCCAGCUCUAUAAAUUCACUUUCUUUCCGAAAAAAGUCAGAAGAGAAGAUUUCAUCGCGUUUGCGAUACAGAGGCGCCGCCACAUCUUGUUCUUCAUCUGGAGGGCAGAUCUGGAGUCCGUUUUGGGCUCCGGAGAGGGGAAAUCGUCGCCAUCGUCAUCAUCAACCUUCUUCCCUCUCCAAUUCCAUGAAGCUCUUCAUCGUUCGUGAGUAAUCUAUUCGUAGGCUCGCUAGGCGGUGAUGAGUAGGAUGAGAUCUAUCUUGUAAUCGAGUUAGUUUUGACGGGGAUUGAUCCCUAGUAUCCACUAUGUUCUGAGAUUGAUGUUGCUACUACUUUGCCAUGCUUAAUACUUGUCACUAGGGUCCGAGUGCCUGAUUUCAGAUCUCAAAUUAUUAUGUUGUCACCAAUAUAUGUGUGUUUUAGAUCCGAUCUUGCAGGUUGUAGUUACCUACUAUGUGUUAUGACCCGACAACCCCGGAGUGACAAUAACCGGAACCACUCCCGGUGAUGACCGUAAUUUGAGGAGUUCAUGUGUUCACCAAGUGCUAAUGCGUUGUUCCGGUACUUUAUUAAAAGGAGAACCUUAAUAUCCCGUAGUAUCCUUUUGGACCCCGCUGCCACGGGAGGGAUGGACAAUAGAUGUCAUGCAAGUUCUUUUCCCUAAGCACGUAUGACUACACACGGAAUGCAUGCCUACAUCACAUUGACGAACGGGAGCUAGCCACAUAUCUCUCCGUGUUAUAACUGUUGCAUGAUGAAUGUCAUCCAAACGAAUCACCGACCCAUUGCCUACGGGUUUGUCCCACUGCUGCUGUUACUUGUUUUGCUCUGCUGCUAUUACUACUGUUGCUGCUACUGUUACUUGCUUUGCUCUGCUGCUGUCACCACUGUUGCUACUGUUGCUACUUGCUACUGCUAUUACUUGCUACUGUUGCUACUUGCUACUGCUAUCACUACUGCUGUUCCUUGCCACCGCUGAUACUCGUUACACUGCUACUACUUGCUAGAAUACCUUUUUUCUUGCGCCGUUGACGGGAAAGAAUAUUUUCCGUCCACGGUCAACUUCUGGCGCCAUUGAUAUGACCGUUAGGAAUAGUCUGCCAUCAACAAAUCGUUUCUGACACUGUUGUUAUCAUACUACUUUGUUGCUGAUACUUUGCUUGCAGAUACUAAUCUUUCAGGUGCGGUUGAAUCUGACACAUUCAGCUGCUAAUACUUGAGAGUAUCCUUUCACUUCCUGACGGGCGAACCAACAAAUUUGGGUUGAAUACUCUACCCUCGAAAACUGUCGUGAACCCAUGCGCUGGUGGGCCAUUGCAAGACAAUUGCUAAUUGUUGAGCAACUCGGAGCAAUUCUGGCUCUGUUGUCGCGAAGGCAUCAAUUCAGGGACACGUCAACAACAUUCUUCUAGUGUCGUUGCCGGGGACUGCCGUCAGCAGCAUUUUUUUGGCACCGUUGCCGGGGUAGGGAUUGCUAUAUUCUCUGAGUCACUUGGGAUUUAUAUCUGCUGAUCACUAUGAAGAAUCUGAAAGACCCAGAAACCAAAGUCUUGCCCUCAACUACGAGGGGAGGUAAGGAACUGCCAUCUAGCUCUGCACUUGAUUCACCUUCAGUUAUGAGUAAGUUUGCGACAUCACCUCCUUCUAGAAAUCUUGAUAUGUCGCCUGUGCUUGAUGAUGCUUAUGAUGCUACUGCUAGAGAUGCUAUGCCUGAUACUGCUAGAGAUGCUAUGCCUGAUACUGCUUUGCCUGAUGAUGCUAGAGAUGCUAUUUUGCCUGAUGAUGCUAUGCUUGAUACUGCUAGAGAUACUACUUUGCCUGAUGUGCCACUAGGGGUAUUCCUUGAUGCUCAUAUUGCUAGAGUUACUGCCAAUGCUCGUGAUGCUUCUGAAACUGCCGAUACUAUUGAGAUAGAACCUGCUUUUGCUCCUGCUAGAUCUAGCUCUCCUAGAUAUGAAUUGCCUGAUAUACUUGAGGGUUACGUUAUGGAGGGAGAGAUAGCUGAGGAUUUUCUUGCGUGUAAGGAUACCUAUGACACUGAGAAAUUACUUCUCAAGUGGAAGGAAAAAUCUCUGAAAGCUAGGAUGAAAUACGACCCGAAGUUUGCCACUUCACCUAUCUUUAUCACCGAUAAGGAUUAUGAAUUCGCCCUAUAGNNNNNNNNNNNNNNNNNNNNNNNNNNNNNNNNNNNNNNNNNNNNNNNNNNNNNNNNNNNNNNNNNNNNNNNNNNNNNNNNNNNNNNNNNNNNNNNNNNNNAGAGAAACUUACCUGCGCUCACCUGAAGCGGCCCAGCCCAUCAGGGGCACCACUGUCUUCUUCCUCCUCCCAGGAGGAGAAGCAGUUGCGUGCCCGACGCAUCGCCGGGCACCGCCACGUCCCCUAGCCACCUCCUGCUCGCCCCCGUCCUUAUCUCCUCGCCCGUGGAUGCCCCAGACCCCCCCUUGAGCUCAUCCUCCUCUCCUCUCUCUAGGUUCCCCUUCUCUCUCUCUGCUUUCCCUCGUUGCCUCCAUUGCCGAGCUAGAGCUCGAGCUCGCCUCUCUGGUCUCCGGCCUUCCCUCGCCUCUCCGAGAAGCCCAGAAGGACCGCCCCGAUGCCCUGCUCCUCCUCGCCAUUGGAAUCGAGCCCGGACGACCCCUGUCGUCGCCAUCGCCGUUGUCUUCCUCACCUCCGGCCACCGGCCCCCUUCCAUCGAUUCACCCCCUCCGACGCGACCCCGACCUCCCCGUCACCGCAAAUGGAACCGUCGUGAGCUCACCGUCAUUUCCCCUCUCUUUCCACGUUCUCCCGUGCCGUGUAGCCCCGCUCCCCGCCACGGCCGAACCCCGCCGCCGCUUAGGCUCGUCGCCGGCACCUCUCCGGCGACCUAGCCCCCCCUUCGAGCCCCCUGUGCGAUGUGGUCGAGCCUGGGCUACGCCCAAGUGCUCUCAGCGCUUGUUUCCGGCCCCUGUAGUGCCAUCUAGGCAACUCCGGCGAGCCCUCCGCCGCGGGCUUGGUCGCCAACGACCACCCUCCGGUGAGGGCCAACGUGGCCAGUCGUUAGCCAGUACUAACCCCCCCCCCCAGAGCCACUGCCAGAGGGCCCCACGCCUGGUCAAACCCCAAUUAGGGGCUGGUCAGCGCGGGGUUAGCCUCUGGGUCACUGACCAGUGGGCCCCACUGGUCAGGGUUUGACCUGGCCGGCCAGUUGAACUGCUGACGUCAGUACUGAUGCAAUAUUAGUAUUUCUGUUUAUAAAAUAAAUCCAGGAAAUUGCUAAAACUUGUAAAAAUCAUAGAAAUUAAAAUAUAACUCGGAUGAAAAUAAUUUAUAUAUGAAAAAGUAUCAGAAAAAUCCAAGGAAUCUGAUUAUGGCAUUUUCNNNNNNNNNNNNNNNNNNNNNNNNNNNNNNNNNNNNNNNNNNNNNNNNNNNNNNNNNNNNNNNNNNNNNNNNNNNNNNNNNNNNNNNNNNNNNNNNNNNNACUCACUAUAGGGCGGGCAACAUAUUUUAAAAACACCGACAACCGACCGACGGUAGACCGAAUACGGUGCCGCUACGGUCGACCGUUCGGGUACUAGACGGACUCCGAUUGCGAUGAAACUUGACACGCGGCCUACCUAUAUUAAAAUACGACCGCACGUCAAAUAUCAACCCAAUCAGAGAAGGUUUUAUGCACACUUUUAAAACAAGGUUUUGACGAUGCCGCGGGCGCGUGCGUGUGCGGUCGGGCUCAGAACGGACAACGACGAGAACCGGCAACAAACAACGGAUGCAAGUUUUGGAAACUGGCGGCAACGGAGAUGCCGAUGCAAUGCAGAUGAUGCGCAUGAUGCGAUGAUGAUGCAGCAAAAGAAAAUAGACACACGACGAAAACGGAAUAGAAGGGGAAUCUUCUGGAACGUCGGCCUCGGGCUGUCACAACUCUCCUACACUAUAAGAGGAUCUCGCCCCGAGAUCCAAGAAUGAAAGGAAGAGGGGAUAAGAAAGCAAGAGGUAAAACUUAAUCGCUUCUUUGACAAAUGAGUGAAACCAACAUCCUUGAAGGUUGCAAAGAGAUGAGGAAUGAUAAGAGAAACAAGCAAGAAUUCACGGAAAAUUUCGGCAGCACUUCGGUAGGAAAAUGGGACAAAAAAUUCGAUAAGAUAGGAGAAAUAGACAAUAUUCAUUACAAACAACUAAAUAGAACAAGGGAACACUAUGAUCUUGGUAGACCAACAUAAUAGACCCAAAAGAGCAACAUCACAAUGCCUCCGGAACAAUAGAAUAGGAACUAGCUCAUACGGAAGAAGAGAAUGAAGAGAGAAUGACAACUACUCACUCCAAUGAACUUGGCAAGCAUCCUUGCAAGAAGAAUUGGACGGAGUUGUUGGAAAACAACAGCGAAAGAACAAGAAAGUAGUGGGCUUAUGGAAACCUUUUCAAACUAAUGAAGUGACAACCAGCCACUAACAGAACAAGGAUUGAUUGGGAGAAACAAGAUAUGAACAAUUCCUUACACCAAGAGGAUACAUUGAGAACUUGGAUUAAUGACAAGCACCAUGAUAGCAACAAUCCAUAGGAAAAUCUUUAGGUGAAAUCCAAACCAAGAUAGCUCAAUGAAGAAAUCAUGGGUUGAAAACAUCUCAUGAUCAUAGAAUUGGUGGGUUUAAUUAUCUCAUUCUUGAAAGGAAAUCUCUUCGAAACUCCUACACUAACAAGAAUGCUAUAAUACCACCUCAAAGGAUAAAGGAGAACAAUUGCACAUAGAAAUGCAAGAGAAGAAAACUUGAGGUUCUCCAAUAAGAAUCUUGAAGAACACUUUGAGAAUGAAUUGACAUCAUGAGCCGCUCCGGAAGAAGAAUUCAGAUUACUAUGAACAAGAAUAAGAAUUAUGUUAUGCUUAUCCUUCAUCAAAUUAAGUUGAUGAGAAGCAACGGAUUUAGCAUACCACUUAUUCUUCUUGAAAGAACCUUGAAGAGAUAGAGAGAUAAGCACCACUUGAAGCACAAUUGAAUGAAGCACCGGCAAGAAUUCGAGCUCNNNNNNNNNNNNNNNNNNNNNNNNNNNNNNNNNNNNNNNNNNNNNNNNNNNNNNNNNNNNNNNNNNNNNNNNNNNNNNNNNNNNNNNNNNNNNNNNNNNNGAGAUUUGAAAACAAGCGGGGCAACUGGACUACGGGGUCAGAGGGGAUGACUGCUCCACCUAUACUAAGCAGAUUUAAAGUACAGGACUGAAAGUAGCAGUUCAUCAAAAAUAGGUUAUGCAUCAGAUAUAGGAGCUAACUACAACAGUAGCAAAAUACUAAUGCAAGCAGUAGGAAGAAAGACAUAGGCAAUAUAGGAAUGAUCAAGGGGGGGUUUGCUUGCCUUGCUGCUCUGCGGCAAAGGACUGAUCGGCAGGGUCAUAGAUGUACCCGGCAGCAGAGUCAGUCUCGGGGCCUACCGGUAAGAAGAGGGGGAAGAAACAAUAAAUAAUAGCAACGGUGUGUUGGAAUUAUGCCCUAGAGGCAAUAAUAAAUAUAGUUAUUAUUAUAAUUCAUGUAUCAAGAUAACCGUUUAUUAUCCAUGCUAUAAUUGUAUUGAAUGAAGACUUAUAUACAUGUGUGGAUACAUAGACAAAACACUGCCCCUAGCAAGCCUCUAGUUGGCUAGCCAGUUGAUCAAAGAUAGUCACUGUCUUCUGAUUAUGAACAAGGUGUUGUUGCUUGAUAACUGGAUCACGUCAUUAGGAGAAUCACGUGAUGGACUAGACCCAAACUAAUAGACGUAGCAUGUUGAUCGUGUCAUUUUGUUGCUACUGUUUUCUGCGUGUCAAGUAUUUGUUCCUAUGACCAUGAGAUCAUAUAACUCACUGACACCGGAGGAAUACUUUGUGAGUAUCAAACGUCGCAACGUAACUGGGUGACUAUAAAGAUGCUCUACAGGUAUCUCCGAAGGUGUUCGUUGAGUUAGUAUGGAUCGAGACUAGGAUUUGUCACUCCGUGUGACGGAGAGGUAUCUUGGGGCCCACUCGGUAAUACAACAUCACACACAAGCCUUGCAAGCAAUGUGACUUAAUGUAAGUUGCGGGAUCUUGUAUUACGGAACGAGUAAAGAGACUUGCCGAUAAACGAGAUUGAAAUAGGUAUACGGAUACUGACGAUCGAAUCUCGGGCAAGUAACAUACCGAAGGACAAAGGGAAUGACAUACGGGAUUAUAUGAAUCCUUGGCACUGAGGUUCAAACGAUAAGAUCUUCGUAGAAUAUGUAGGAUCCAAUAUGGGCAUCUAGGUCCCGCUAUUGGAUAUUGACCGAGGAGUCUCUCGGGUCAUGUCUACAUAGUUCUCGAACUCGCAGGGUCUGCACACUUAAGGUUCGACGUUGUUUUAUGCGUAUUUGAGUUAUAUGGUUGGUUACCGAAUGUUGUUCGGAGUCCCGAAUGAGAUCACGGACGUCACGAGGGUUUCCGGAAUGGUCCAGAAACGAAGAUUGAUAUAUAGGAUGACCUCAUUUGAUUACCGGAAGGUUUUCGGAGUUACCGGGAAUGUACCGGGAAUGACGAAUGGGUUCUGGGAGUUCACCGGGUGGCAACCCACCCCGGGGAAGCCCAUAGGCCUUGGGGGUGGCACACCAGCCCUUAGUGGGCUGGUGGGACAGCCCAAGAAGGCCCUAUACGCCAUGGGAAGAAAAUCAAAGAGAAAAGAAAAAAAAGGAGGAGGUNNNNNNNNNNNNNNNNNNNNNNNNNNNNNNNNNNNNNNNNNNNNNNNNNNNNNNNNNNNNNNNNNNNNNNNNNNNNNNNNNNNNNNNNNNNNNNNNNNNNUCAACAGCGGCUAAGCAUAUAUUUGGUGGCUAACUUACGAGUACAAGAAAUAAUAGGGAAGAUCUACGCAUAACGGACGUGAGCUACUGAUGAUCAAAAGAAUGAUCCUGAACACCUACCUACGUCAGACAUAACCCCACCGUGUCCUCGAUCGGAGCAGGGCUCACGAAAGAGACAGUCACGGUUACGCACACAGUUGGCAAGUUUUAAUUAAGUUAACUUCAAGUUAUCUAGAACCGGUGUUAAACAAAGCUUCCACGUUGCCACAUAACCGCGGGCACGGCUUUCCGAAAGAUUUAACCCUGCAGAGGUGCUCCAACUAGUCCAUCACAAAUUACCACAAGCCGCAUAGAAAUCCUCAAUCACGAAGCUCGCGAUCUCGUCGGAUUCCCUAGUGGAAAACCUCAACUGUGAGAUUACCCAAAGCAUCACCGGAAUCCCGAUGCACAAGAUAUCUCGUCAAAGGUAAAACUAAUCCAGCAAGGCCGCCCGACGUGUCGACGAUCCCGAUAUGAGUCGCGUACCUCGUUCUCAGGACACGACGGAUGAGCGAUGGUUACCACGCCAAACGCCGAGUUGCCCCGGGUAGCAUUAAUAAGCUGCUCUGUUUUGGACCAACACUCAUGAGGAGCACUGGCCCGGGGGUUUAUUAAAAUAGUCCGCGGGUGCCGGCGGGUCCCUAUGCAUUAUUAUUAGGUUAUUAGGCAAAUGUAGUACCAAAGUUGGGCCUUGCCAGACCAGCUUUAAUCUAAAACGAAUUAUCAAGGGGGUCCCCAUAACAACCCCGAUCGUGUUAGGAGCGCUCAAUUAUGGAACAUAACACCGGUAGCCGGAAACUAAGGGGGCAAAGGUGGAACAAAACACCAGGCUAGAAAGGCCGAGCCUUCCACCUUUUACCAAGUAUAUAGGUGCAUUAAAUUAAAUAGCAUUUAAAUAUGGUGAUAUAACAAGGAACCCAUGUAAUCACAUGGAAUCAACUGCACCUGCAACUAGCAACGCUAUCAACAGGGUUAAGCUAGCAGUAACAUAGCCAAUAAGUGGUUUGCUAGGUCGAACAGGUUGAAGGUUUCAUGGCAUUGUUGAGAGGCUAAUAUUUAACAUGUGGUAGGCAACGAGACAUAAACGGUAGCAACGGUAAAACUAGCAUGGCAAUGAUAGUAAUGGUAUCUGGGGAAAUGGUCAUCUUGCCUGAGAUCCCGCUUGGAAGAAGAACAUCUCUGUGAAGCAGGCGAACCAACGUAGUCGAACGGGUCCUCACAUUCCGACACGCUUGCGGAACUCUAUCGAGACGGAGCAAACCGGAAACAAAUAUCAACACAGAUAUUCACCACACGAUGCACAACAUGAUGCAUACCCUAAUAUGAUGCAUGAUCAAUUCAAUAUGCAAGGGAUGGCAUGGCAAAUCACCUCACGCAAACACUACACAUCAAUUGAAGCUCGAUAUGCAACGGGUUACAUACCGACGAAACUCCACGAUUAAUUAUUUAGUUCACUCCCGUUUAUUUACACGGCAACAUUAAAUGUUGUUAACAUGGCAAGGGGUGAAGCGAUGAUCCUACGUGUCAUCCUAGUCGGUUUAACUCGCGGAACAAGAGCGGAACUACGGCACGGGAGACAUGCAACACAAGAUCAUAUGCCAUGAAUGCGUCAUGCACGCAAGUUCAAACAUCACGGGCAAGAAGAGAAGGAAACAUGUGUCGCCACGGCAAGCGAGAGGGAACCAUGGCGGCAAGACGGAAACGAAGCCACGACAACGUUCCCAUCCCGAUACUCGUCGAGAUAUCGUGCCAACGAUCUGGAAGCGUGUGCGGGAUCACUAAAUAAGAAUGGGGUGAUCCCGUAUAUCGGGUUCCCAUGUGUCGAGGCACGACGAAAGAAGACAACGGGCAACGGGCCACAUACGGUGCAAACAUACAUUCAACUCAUACAACACAUGCAUACGGUUCUCGACGCGUACCAACGGUAUACNNNNNNNNNNNNNNNNNNNNNNNNNNNNNNNNNNNNNNNNNNNNNNNNNNNNNNNNNNNNNNNNNNNNNNNNNNNNNNNNNNNNNNNNNNNNNNNNNNNNNGUCGUGUGAUUAGAUUUAUUCGUUGCAUCGUCAUGUAGUUUGCAUCAUCGCAUCAUGCAUGGCAUCAUGUCAACUGUGUUUAGUCGGUGUCGCCUGCUGCUCCGUGUUGUUGGGUGAUAGUGCUUCAUGAGUGGCGUUGUUUUGUUGGAGUGAUGAAAGAGGGUGCGUGAGAGCCACCGCUAAGCCCUGUUGCACCGCGGACCUAAAACCUUCUCUCCCCUCUCAUUUCCUUUUUGUGGUUUGGCUAAAUACUUUAGUUUAGUUCCCUAUUUUAAAAAUUAAAGAUUCGUCUUCUUUUAAAGAAAAAACAUUUUAUUAAAUGUGGAGGCAACCCCUUGAGUUUUCUUCAUUUUCUCCUUUUGUUUUAUCUUUAAACAAUCUCAUUUUCUUAUCUCUUUUAAAGAACUUUUAUUUUACACUUUAAAUAAAAUAGGUUUAUUUUAUUCUUUUAAAAAAGGGUUUUGAUUUUUAAUUCUUUAAAAGGUUUCAUUUUACUCUUCGAAAAGGUUUCAUUUUUAUUUGUUUAAAGAGCCCGAUCUAUUUUUAUAGUUGGAGCAUGUUUUAAGGAGCCCAAAAGUAUUUUUGUUUUAGUAAAUUCCUUUUCUUCUGGUUGUGGGUUCCUCUUUUUUUUUUAAAAACCAGCUAUUUUAUUUUUUUGUGCAAGACAUUUUUUUAUUUUAGAAGGAGAGGACCCAGACCAAGGCCCAGCCGGCCAAGGCCCAGGCCCCCUCCAACCCUAGCGUCGUGCUGCGCCUCUCCCUCGUCACCCACAGCGCCGUCUCCUCCCGAUUCUCGUCUCCUCGUUCCCUGCUCCGCCCUGCCGCCUCCAGGUCCCCUUGCCUCGCCGUGGCCACCUCCCUCGCCCUCUCUUCUCCCCUCUACGCGCCGCCAGCCCCAGGCCCGAGCCGCACCGCCCUGCCAGCGCCGAGCCCCCUGCUCGCCGGCCUCCCCUGGUCCUCCUCGCCAUGCGGUCUCCCGCGCGCAGCCGUCCAUCUGCACGUCGAGCCGCCUCUCUGCUCCCCGUCCCCUGCGCCCGCAUCGCCGCCGGUGCCCGACCUGCGCGCCGCCCUCGCCCCCGAGUUCCCCGCGUGCUCGCCCUCGGCCUCGAGCUCGCCGCCCCGGUCGCAGCCUCCCUGCCAUGGCGACCUCGCCGUUCCCCGCGUCGCCCCUCNNNNNNNNNNNNNNNNNNNNNNNNNNNNNNNNNNNNNNNNNNNNNNNNNNNNNNNNNNNNNNNNNNNNNNNNNNNNNNNNNNNNNNNNNNNNNNNNNNNNGACUCACGGGAAGAUAUCACAACACAACUCUAGACACAAAUAAAAUAACAUCAGCUUCAUAUUACAAGCCAGGGGCCUCGAGGGCUAGAAUACGAAAGCUCGAUAAACACACGAGUCAGCGGAAGCAACAAAAUCUGAGUACAGACAUAAAACAUGGGGUGCCUUAGAGAAGGCUAGCACAAAAGAUACAACGAUCGAAUGAGGCGAGGCCUCCUACCUGGGAACCUCCUAACUACUCCUGAUCAUCAGCGGCCUCCACGUAGUAGUAGGCACCGUCGGGGUAGGAGUCGUCGUCGGCGGGAACCUCCAUCUCCUGGGCUCCAUCAUCUGGUCGCAGCAACGGAUCGAGGGGACAAGAGGGGGAGCAAAGCAGAAGUGAGUACUCAUCCAAAGUACUCGCAAGUCUUACAUCAGAACUAUUAUAAUUAUGCAUCAGUAUCAAAGAAGGGGGGGCUAUAUGUGGACUGACUGCAGCAAUGCGAGAAUAAAGAGAGAAGGCCUAGUCCUAUCGAAGACUAGCAUCUUCAGGGUCUUGCAGCAAUAGACGAGAGUAGAACAGGGGUAACACAUUAAAAGUCAUAUUGUUGCAGCAAUAUUAAAGUGAGGUCAUGCCUAAAGAUCCUCCCUCGACUCCCUGCGAGGAAGCAAUCCCGAGGCAAACUAAUUCCAGUUAAGUAACAAUUGUAGUUGUAUAAGAUCGGGGCACAACUCCAAGUCGUCCUNNNNNNNNNNNNNNNNNNNNNNNNNNNNNNNNNNNNNNNNNNNNNNNNNNNNNNNNNNNNNNNNNNNNNNNNNNNNNNNNNNNNNNNNNNNNNNNNNNNNAGUUGCUACUCAUGCUAAGUGGUUUCAACUAUUUACUGUGACAAAAUCAGGUCAUGCAAAGGAAUGGGUUCAACUACCGAUAACAUGUACAGUUGAAUCGUGUUUGUCCUAACGCAGUAAAAGAGAGCAGGAGCGAGAGAGUGGGUUUAUUUCAAUAUGCUCAAGGGGGUUUGCUUGCCUGACACGUCUGAAGAUAGCAAUGAGUCUUCAUCAAUGUCAACGAUCACAUCGUCGGAAACAUCGUUUACCGAGAGGGAACAACACCGGCAAACAAGAAGGAACAACAAUUACUUCACAGAAAUGCAACACUAUGAUGCAUGCUCAAGACAUGAAAUGAAAGGUGGCAGGCCUAAUGUGGCUAUCAUUACUUAAAUUGAAGUUGGUUUGAAUUAGGAUCCAAACAUCACUUCAAGCCGGUUAUUUUUCCGGAUACCCUUUUAAUUGAUUCAACCUGAAGCUCAAAACAAAUUGUUCCAACAUGUAUGGAGUUAGUAUCUUGAGGUACUGAUUUGCAUUGACCCUUGUUUGGUCAUAACAAUUGAAGUGAAAAUCAAAUAAGUAUCAAUUUCCAACUCCAAACUAUUUAUUAAAUUUACCCUAUUCAUCAUUUUGCCUAUUUAGUGUUGUUAACUUUUUCAAACAUGCAUGAAAAUGCCAUAAUCAGAUUCCUUGGAUUUUUCUGAUACUUUUUCAUAUAUAAAUUAUUUUCAUCCGAGUUAUAUUUUAAUUUCUAUGAUUUUUACAAGUUUUAGCAAUUUCCUGGAUUUAUUUUAUAAACAGAAAUACUAAUAUUGCAUCAGUACUGACGUCAGCAGGUCAACUGGCCGGCCAGGUCAAACCCUGACCAGUGGGGCCCACUGGUCAGUGACCCAGAGGCUAACCCCGCGCUGACCAGCCCCUAAUUGGGGUUUGACCAGGCGUGGGGCCCUCUGGCAGUGGCUCUGGGGGGGGGGGUUAGUACUGGCUAACGACUGGCCACGUUGGCCCUCACCGGAGGGUGGUCGUUGGCGACCAAGCCCGCGGCGGAGGGCUCGCCGGAGUUGCCUAGAUGGCACUACAGGGGCCGGAAACAAGCGCUGAGAGCACUUGGGCGUAGCCCAGGCUCGACCACAUCGCACAGGGGGCUCGAAGGGGGGGCUAGGUCGCCGGAGAGGCGCCGGCGACGAGCCUAAGCGGCGACGGGGUUCGGCCGUGGCGGGGAGCGGGGCUACGGGGCAUGGGAGAACGUGGAAAUAGAGGGGAAAUGACGGCGAGCUCACGACGGUUCCAUUUGCGGUGACGGGGAGGUCGGGAUCGCGUCGGAGGGGUUGAAUCGAUGGAAGGGGGCCGGUGGCCGGAGGUGAGGAAGACAAUGGCGAUGGCGACGACAGGGGUCAUCCGGGCUCGAUUCCAAUGGCGAGGAGGAGCAGGGCAUCGGGGCGGUCCUUCUGGGCUUCUCGGAGAGGCGAGGGAAGGCCGGAGACCAGAGAGGCGAGCUCGAGCUCUAGCUCGGCAAUGGAGGCAACGAGGGAAAGCAGAGAGAGAGAAGGGGAACCUAGAGAGAGGAGAGGAGGAUGAGCUCAAGGGGGGGUCUGGGGCAUCCACGGGCGAGGAGAUAAGGACGGGGGCGAGCAGGAGGUGGCUAGGGGACGUGGCGGUGCCCGGCGAUGCGUCGGGCACGCAACUGCUUCUCCUCCUGGCAGGAGGAAGAAUACAGUGGUGCCCCUGAUGGGCUGGGCCGCUUCAGGUGAGCGCAGGUAAGUUUCUCUCUCUCUCUUUUCCUAUUUUUCUUUUAUUUUCUUUCUGGCAUUUAGAUUUAGGAUUUUAAUAAAACAUUUAAUCAUUUUAUAAAACCCUAAAAUAGUAUUAUGUGACAGUAGUAAAAAUAAUCAAUGCCACAAANNNNNNNNNNNNNNNNNNNNNNNNNNNNNNNNNNNNNNNNNNNNNNNNNNNNNNNNNNNNNNNNNNNNNNNNNNNNNNNNNNNNNNNNNNNNNNNNNNNNAUUGAAUUCUUGGUUCUUGGUUAACUUUUCUGUGUGUGGGUUCUUAAGCUUAUGGUCUGUUGGGGAACAUUGCUGAGAAACAAAAAAUUUCCUACGCACACGCAAUACCUAUCCAUGGUGAUGAUCAUCUACCAGAGGGGAGAGUGAAUCUACAUACCCUUGUAGAUCGCUAAGUGGAAGCAUAUAUAACGCGUUUGAUGUAGUGGAACAUCUCCGCGAUUCAAAUCACAGCGUGUCCCGUGAUCUCAUCACGAUCCAUCCCGAUCUAGUGCCGAACGAACGACACCUCCGCGUUCAGCACACAUACAACUCGAUGACAAUCCCCACCUUGUUGAUCCAGCAAGAGGGGUGGAGAGGUAGAUGAGUUAUCCAACACGGAGGAAUGGUGGUGGUGAUGGUGGAUCUAUUCCAGCAGGGCUUCGCCUAAGCGUUGCUGAAAAACCGAUCUAGAGGAAGAACAAAUCUAGAGAGAAGUAGAGGGAGCAUGUGGCAAUUAGGGUUAGCCCUCACCUUUAAAACCUCUAGUAUAUAUAGGAGGGAGGGAGGGGAUGAGGCAGCCUCAAACCCUCAAGGUUUGGCCGAAAUUGGAGGUGCAGAAGUCCUACUCCAAUCCCACCAAGGGUAGGAUUCCCCUUCUCCACUUGGAAACCCUUUCCACCUUUUCCACCUUUGGGUUUCUUUCCUUCCCACCUCCAAUCCGCCUUGGGCUUUAUGGAGGCUUCGUACAGCCCACUAAGGCCUGGUCCAGAUCCUCCCACAGCCCAUGAGACCCUUUGGGGUGGGUGGGCCCACCUGGUGGACCCCAGAAACCCAUUCGUCACUCCCGGUACACUACCGAAAAUGUCUGAAACUUUUCCGGAGUUCAAAAACCACUUUCCUAUAUAUCAAGAUUUACCUCCGGACCAUUUCGGAGCUCGUCGUGAUGUCCAGGAUCUCAUCUGGGACUCCGAAAAACCUUCGGUUACCAACACCUAUAACUCAACUAUACCGAAACGUCACCGAACCUUCAGUGUGCAGACCCUGCGGGUUCGAAAACUAUGCAUACAUGACCUAAGACACUCCCCAGUCAAUAACUGAUGACCCUCAAGUAUAGGGGACCUAUCGUAGUCCUUUCGACAAGUAAGAGUGUCGAACCCAACGAGGAGCAGAAGGAUCCGACAAGUGGUUUUCAACAAGGUAAUAUAUGCAAGCACUGAAAUUGUCGGUAACAAGUAGUUGUGUGGUGAGAUGAUUCGUAGCAAGCAACAAGUAACAAAAGUAGCAAUGGUGCAGCAAAGUGGCCCAAUCCCUUUUGUACAAGGGACAAGCCUGGACAAACUCUUAUAGGAGGAAAAACACUCCCGUGGACACACGGGAAUUUCUGUCAUGCUAGUUUUCAUCAUGUUCAUAUNNNNNNNNNNNNNNNNNNNNNNNNNNNNNNNNNNNNNNNNNNNNNNNNNNNNNNNNNNNNNNNNNNNNNNNNNNNNNNNNNNNNNNNNNNNNNNNNNNNNNNNNNNNNNNNNNNNNNNNNNNNNNNNNNNNNNNNNNNNNNNNNNNNNNNNNNNNNNNNNNNNNNNNNNNNNNNNNNNNNNNNNNNNNNNNNNNNNNNNNNNNNNNNNNNNNNNNNNNNNNNNNNNNNNNNNNNNNNNNNNNNNNNNNNNNNNNNNNNNNNNNNNNNNNNNNNNNNNNNNNNNNNNNNNNNNNNNNNNNNNNNNNNNNNNNNNNNNNNNNNNNNNNNNNNNNNNNNNNNNNNNNNNNNNNNNNNNNNNNNNNNNNNNNNNNNNNNNNNNNNNGAUCUGAACAUAAACUCUUCCACCAAGUAAUCCAACUAGCAUCAACUACAAAGAGUAAUUAACACUACUAGCAACCUUACAAGUACCAAUAGGAGUCGCGAGAUGGAGAUUGGUUACAAGAGAUGAACUAGGGUUUGGAGAUGAGAUGUUGCUGAUGAAGAUGUUGAUGGUGAUGAGUCCCCUCCGAUGAGAGGAGUGUUGGUGAUGACGAUGGCGACGAUUUCCUCCUCCGGGAGGGAAGUUUCCCCGACAGGAUCGUCCUGCCGGAGCUCUAGAUUGGUUCUGCUCAAGUUCCGCCUCGUGGUGGCGGCGAAUCCUCCGAAAAGCCUCUUCGUGAUUUUUUCCAGACCGAAACCCUUCUUGUAGCAAAAGAGGGGGGCAAGUGGGCUAGCAGGGAGCCCACAAGCCCCCUAGGCGCGGCCAGGGGGGUGGCCGCGCCUAGCAGGCUUGUGGCCACUUGCUGGCGCCCCUGUGGCACUUCUUCGGCCCAGUAUUUUUUAUAAAUCCCAAAAAAAACCAUGUUGAUUUUCGGCUUUUGGAGUUGCGCAGAAUAGGCAUAUCAAACUUGCUCAUUUUUAGGCCAGAAUUCCAGCUGCCGGCAUUCUCCCUCUUCAUGUAAACCUUGCAAAAUAAGAGAGAAAAGGAAUAAGUAUUGUACCGUGAAGUGAAAUAACAGCCCAAAAAGCGAUAAAUAUCAACAUGAAAGCGUGAUGCAAAAUGGACGUAUCAACUCCCCCAAGCUUAGACCUCGCUUGUCCUCAAGCAAAAGCCUAGAUCAAUAAACAUGCCCACAUGUUUAGGGAGAGAGGUGUCGACAAAACAAGAUACGAACAUGCGGGCAUCAUGAUCAUGAUCAGAACAGCAAUACCAUCAUAUCAUCUCUUAUGCUAAAGUGACAAUUCAUUCACAAAGUAAAGUAUGGAUCAAGAACCUUACUGAGAAUUAACAACCGAUGGCCUUUAGUCAUUGAAGCAAUUGCAAUUUAUCACAACAUCAGAAAGAGUCAAAUAAGAGCUUGUAAAGCAAUCCACAUACUCAAUCAUCCUUUCGUUCUCUACAAUUGCUACAACUCACGUGGUACUCAUGAGAUCAAAGUUUCAGUUGGACACACAGAAAGAUAGGGGCUUAUAGUUUUGCCUCCCAACUGCUUACCUCAAGGGUAAUGUCAACAAUAAUAAUUCAUGAAUACUUACUUCCAAGUUGACAUAUGAAUAUAGAUCUUUCCCUAGCAUAUGACGUUAGCCAAGAUAAAGGAGAAAUAAGGAAUUGGUGAAGAUCACCAUGACUCUUUCAAGGGCAAAAAGUAAAGGUACAAGAUAGGCCCUUCGCAGAGGGAAGCAGAGGUUGUCAUGCGCUUUUGAGGUUUGGAUGUGUGUCCUCUUAGUGCGGAGGAACGUCACUUUAUAUUGCCUCCUGUGAUAAAGAACUUUAUUAUGCAGUCUGUCGCUUUUAUGUCUUCCUCAUCACAGGUUCGUACAAAGCUUAUUUCCACACACUAAUAGAUCAUACAUAUUUGGGAGCAAUUUUUAUUUCUUGCACCGAUGACAACUUACUUGAAGGAUCUUAUUCAAUCCAUAGGAAGGUAUGGUGGACUCUCAUGGCAAAACUGGGUUGAAGGUUUAUGGAUGCACAAGUAGUAUCUCUACUUGGUGCGGGAGUUUUGGCUAAUAUGAGGUGGAAGCAAUCGUCACAUGCUAAGGGAUCUCUAAUCAUAUAACAUUGUUCAGAACCAAGCAAACACAAUUCAUUAUGUUGUCUUCCUUGGACAACAUCUACUUCUAAGCAUGCAAUAGUUUAGUGAGUGUCCACAAUCAUAGAUGGUGUCAAAGAUGAGAUAUUUAUAUGUGAACCUCUCCUUCUUUAUCACUUCCUUUUAAUUGCAACAAUGACCAAGGUCUACGUUUGUCUACCCUCAACAAGUUUCAAUCAUCAUUCUUUUUAUAUGUGGAGCCAUCACUUCCCAUAAGAUCAUUACAUGAUCUUUCAUGCUUUUGUUCUUUUCUCAUCCUUUUGAUCAUGACAAGAGACAAAGCCCUUAACCAAGACACUCUUUAUUAUAUGGCUCACGAGCUCGAAUACAUCAGGGGUGACACAAAGCAAAACUCAAGCCUAAAACACUAAGACUUUUAUUCUACUAGAGAAAGAGAAAACUUAAAAGGAACAAACUAAAACAAAGGUAAAGGCAAAAGAGGUGAUGGUGAUACGAUUCCGGGGCAACUCCCCCAAGCUUGGCACAAGCCAACGGGAUUGCCCAUACCCAUGCUCAGUUGUCUUUCUUUGGAGGUGAUGGUGGUGGAGUUGUUGCAAUCUUUGAUUCCAAGAGGGCCAUUAAUCUUUAAUUUAUACCUUGGAGAUCUGUGAUAUGUUCCUCCAGCAAAACAACUUCACGAGCGAGAUAAGUAUUGCGAGCAUGAGUUGUUUCACAAGACCUCAAGAGUUCAAUCAAGGAUGGAGACAGUAGGUGGAAGUAGGGUUGGAGGAAAUCCACUUCUUCAACUUCUUCCUUGUUGAGCACAGAUUGCACUUCAUCCCACGCCUGAUUCUUCUCCUUAGUUUUGCCCUUGGUUUCUUUAGCUAGCCUUUACUUAGCCUCCAUGACCUCCAUCCUUUUUAGAUCAACACUUACUUCUCCAUAAACUUGAGGGAGAUUGUUCUCCCCCACAGAUUCCUGAGACAACAUCUUGCUCUAAAUUUGCGACAGAAAACAGGCUCGAAAUGAAAACAGAGGAAAUCUGCAUGAUACAAGGGUCAGACCUUUCGGGAGAUUAUAUAAUGAUUCUUUUCAGACCAGAAAGAGUACUCCGCACGAAAAUGGAGUCCGGGAGGCACACAAGGUGGCCAGAAGCCCCCCCAGGCGCGGCCAGGGGGUGGGCCCGCGCCUGGCAGGCUUGUCGCCUCCUCGCACGCUUUCCGGACUACUUCCAAUUUUUCUAUUUUUUCAAAUAUUCCAAAACGGAGAAAAAAAUCCUACUGGAAAAGUUUUGGAGUCUGUUUUCUUACCGAAUCACAUACCUCUUCGUUUUUGGAGUCUCGAACAGGCUGAUAAAUAUCCCUUAGGUAUUCUUCCGGAGUUCUGGUAUUGAUAAUAUUGCUUUCAACAUUAAUGGGAGUACGUGAGAUAUAAUGCUUGAUUCUCUGUCCAUUUACCACUCUCGGACAAUCACCUUCCAUGUUGUUGAUCUUGAUAGCACCGGAACGAUAUACUUCCUCAACAAUAUAGGGAUCUUACCAUUUAGAGAGAAGCUUGCCUGCAAAAAAGUCUUAAACGAGAAUUAUAUAGCAAGACAUAAUCACCUACAUUGAACUCACACUUUUGUAUCCUCUUAUCAUGCCACCUCUUAACCUUUUCUUUGAACAACUUGGCAUUCUCAUAUGCCUGAGUUCUCCAUUCAUCAAGCGAGCUAAUGUCAAAUAACCUCUUCUCACCAGCAAGUUUGAAAUCAAAGUUGAGCUCUUUGAUUGCCCAAUAAGUUUUAUGCUCUAGCUCAAGAGGUAAAUGACAUGCUUUACCGUACACCAUUUUGUACGGAGACAUGCCCAUGGGAUUCUUAUAGGAAGUUCUAUAAGCCCGCAGUGCAUCAUCGAGCUUCUUAGACCAAUUCUUUCUAGACCUGUUGACAGUAUUUUGCAGAAUCAGUUUAAUCUCUCUAUUGCUUAGCUCUGCUUGACCACUGGACUGAGGGUGAUAGGGAGACGCAAUUCUAUGGUUGACAUCGUACUUAGCAAGCGUUUUACGGAAAGCACCAUGAAUGAAAUGUGAACCACCGUCGGUCAUUAGAUAUCUAGGGACUCCAAAUCAAGGGAAAAUAACUUCUUUAAGCAUCCUGAUAGAGGUGUUGUGAUCAACACUACUAGUGGGGAUAGCUUCUACCCACUUAGUGACGUAGUCAACAGCAACUAGGAUAUGAGUAUACCCGUUGGAUUUUGGAAAAGGUCCCAUAUAAUCAAAGCCCCAAACAUCAAAUGGUUCAAUGACAAGUGAAUAGUUCAUAGGCAUGUCCUGACGUUUACUGGUAUUACCUAUUCUUUGACAUUCGUCACAAGACAAGACAAAUUUACGAGCAUCCUUGAAGAGAGUGGGCCAAUAGAAACCUGAUUGCAAUACCUUGUGUGCAGUUCUAUCUCCCGCAUGGUGUCCUCCGUAGGCCUUGGAGUGACACUUCUGUAGGAUUUGUCCCUGUUUAUGUUCAGGUACACAACGUCUAAUAACACCAUCUACUCCUUCCUUAUAAAGGUGAGGAUCAUCCCAAAAGUAAUGUCUCAAGUCAAAGAAGAAUUUCUUCUUUUGCUGGUAUGUGAAACUAGGUGGUAUAUAUUUGGCAACGAUAUAGUUUGCAUAAUAAGCAUACCACGGUGCACUACGUGAAGCAUUGAUGACACUCAAUUGCUCACCGGGAAAGCUAUCAUCAAUAGGUUGUGGGUCAUCAAGAAUGGUCUCCAACCUAGACAAGUUAUCUGCUACUGGGUUAUCAGCACAAAACAAAACAAAAGAAAAAGAGGAAAUUAGAAAGAGGAAAUAAUAGANUUCAACAUGAAAGUUGAUCAGCACAACGAGACGAACCCGGAUACACGGUCCAUUCGUGUGUCACGCGUCCCUAGCAUAGCAAACAUGGAACAUUUCCAUCGUUUCUAGUAUGACCGGUAGUAGCCCGAGACCCGAAAAAUAUUGUCAGAUAUUCUUCCGACCCGUCUAUGACGGAUGUUGCUGCGUUAGCUCAUGUCUAGCCUACAUCUUGCCAUGUCAUGCUUUGUGUUGCACCAUUGCUAUUAUUUAUUGUUUCUUCCCCCUCUUCUUACCGGUAGACCCCGAGACUGACGCUGCUGCUGGGUACAUCUACGACCCUGCCGAUCAGUCCUUUGCCGCAGAGCAGCAAGGCAAGCAAACCCCCCUUGAUCAUUCCUAUAUUGCCUAUGUCUUUCUUCCUACUGCUUGCAUUAGUAUUUUGCUAUUGUUGUAGUUAGCUCCUAUAUCUGAUGCAUAGCCUAUUUUUGAUGAACUGCUACUUUCAGUCCUGUACUUUAAAUCUGCUUAGUAUAGGUGGAGCAGUCAUCCCCUCUGACCCCGUAGUCCAGUUGCCCCGCUUGUUUUCAAAUCUCGAUCUCUGAUCGACGAGCCAGACCUGACACAACACUUACACCCCCUUCGUUGUACGAUGCUACAAGGAUACUAUCGGGUACCGAGGGUGACACCUCGCUAAGUACUCCUGAUGAUAUCUCUGUAGUAUAGCUAGUCGGUCGUGGUUAUCGAGGGUGAUUCCUCUUUCACCAUUCCCAAUGAUGCCUCUGUCGUGCAACCCCUCAAGUGUGGGACCCCCAAGGGUGAUUCCUCUAAGCCCACCUUGACGGGUACAUCAUUCGGAAUCCAACUAGGGUGAUACCUCGGAUCCCCCCCGAUGUUACAACCACACAGUUACUCGACCAUGUUACUGGGAUCGUUGAUGUUUAGUUGUAAGACGGGUGGAUUCCCGUGAGACUGUGUUGUUGGCCUAAUUAAAAUGUUAAUGGAUUUGGGUAUUUGAUCUGGGUUGGUUGGAGACCUUUUCGCACUAACCUGCUACGUGGGAAGAAUUAUGGGUACUCGGCGUCACGGUAUCAGCCGAAGCUUUUCAGAUGUCAGCAAUCGUAGUGGCGCAUGCCCGAGUGGUCUCGAGAUGCAUUGCGCUUGUGAUUAAGGGAUGCUAGGACUGACGUUGGCCGCCCUCGCAUCGUGCAGGAGCGCGGAGGGGAACUGGGCCCAUGAACCCUUUGCGCUUAGGAUUUAGACCGGCGGGCUGACCUCUCUGAUUAGUCUUAGGUGGGGCUGCGACGUGUCGAUAUUCCGAGGCCGGGCAGGACCCAGAAAAGUAUGUCCGGCCAGAGUGUUAUCGAGCGUGACAGGACAUGUGGUGCACCCCUGCAGGGAUGAAAAUUAACUAUUCGGAUAGUCGUGUCCACGGUUAUAGGACGACUUGGAGUUGUGCCCCGAUCUUAUACAACUACAAUUGUUACUUAACUGGAAUUAGUUUGCCUCGGGAUUGCUUCCUCGCACGGAGUCGAGGGAGGAUCUUUAGGCAUGACCUCACUUUAAUAUUGCUGCAACAAUAUGACUUUUAAUGUGUUACCCCUGUUCUACUCUCGUCUAUUGCUGCAAGACCCUGAAGAUGCUAGUCUUCGAUAGGACUAGGCCUUCUCUCUUUAUUCUCGCAUUGCUGCAGUCAGUCCACAUAUAGCCCCCCCUUCUUUGAUACUGAUGCAUAAUUAUAAUAGUUCUGAUGUAAGACUUGCGAGUACUUUGGAUGAGUACUCACUUCUGCUUUGCUCCCCCUCUUGUCCCCUCGAUCCGUUGCUGCGACCAGAUGAUGGAGCCCAGCAGAUGGAGGUCCCCGCCGCCGACGACUCCUACCCCGACGGUGCGUACUACUACGUGGAGGCCGCUGAUGAUCAGGAGUAGUUAGGAGGUUCCCAGGCAGGAGGCCUCGCCUCGUUCGAUCGUUGUAUCUUUUGUGCUAGCCUUCUCUAAGGCACCCCAUGUUUUAUGUCUGUACUCAGAUUUUGUUGCUUCCGCUGACUCGUGUGUUUAUCGAGCUUUCGUAUUCUAGCCCUCGAGGCCCCUGGCUUGUAAUAUGAAGCUGAUGUUAUUUUAUUUGUGUCUAGAGUUGUGUUGUGAUAUCUUCCCGUGAGUCUUUGGGUUUGAUCGUACACAUUUGCGUAUAUGAUUAGCAUAUGAUUAAAUCGAGGGCGUCACAAGUUGGUAUCAGAGCCGACUGCCUCUAGGUAGCCCCCUUUCCAACUCCUUGGCCGAAGUUUAGUCCAGUGUUUGAAAUACUUUACUAACACUGAUGUUGUGCCUUACGGGCCCACAUCUCAAUUGGGUGGUAUUAGUAUCUUUUACUCCUUCCUAUACUCUGGGUUCUACUCUCUCUUCUCUUUCGGGUCAAAGAUUUUACUAACUCUAACAUUAGGUUCUCGAAUCACAUCGACCCGGAGCGCUGGACUAUCUACUCUUUCUCCUGAAUAUAUAUUACACACACUGUCUUUUGACAUCCGUCAAUCUUAUUUUCAGAUGCGUCCUGCAAGACAGCACGUGCGCCUGACACAGGCCAAUGAGACGACUGGGUUCCCGGCCAUUUUGGUCGACCUCCUGACCAGGCUGGGAUAUCGCUGGUACCCCGAGUACACUGUGUUCGAGGAUUUCCGCGAGUACAACCAGUACCAGUACCAGGAUGAGGUUCGCAUCUUCGACCAGAGGGGAGGCAAGACCCUCGAGCGCCACGUCUUCUGUGGUAUUGGAGUGUCGGUCGAGAUGGCCGUCCAUGAUGUGGCCUACAUCGCCAUCACCUGUCUCCAUGGAGCGUACCCUCACCUGGAGGAGAGCCCUUUCAGAUACAUCCCGCAUGCUCCUGCUUGGGAUGAGACUGGGUCUGAUCUCACUGCCUACGCUUCUGAAGUUCGGGAGCGCAUCGACCGUUCCUACGUCGCUGUCUGCGCCCCCUACGUGACGCGUCGCUACGACGCACGGUUUCUGGUGCAGUACACUCAGGCAAUGGAUCGUGCUUUCCGAGCUCUAACUGUGGAGCUGUAUGCUACGCGCGCUCGUCUUUACGACGCGUUGACAGAGCUGCAACCAUCACACUGCCCGAGGGUUCCCCCCUAUGCGCAUCCGCGAGCCGAGCAGGACAGAGCUACCAUCAGCUCUCGAGUGGACUGAUGUUGGGGGUAGAAACCCUGCACUUGGACCUCAGCUCCUCGACUGGAUGCGGUACCCUCACCAGAGUCACAACGGGACACAGGGUCCUGUUACUACCUUCUAUCACCGCCAGCUACCAGGAUUCGAUCGUCCUCUCCGACGUUGAUGUAGCCUUAUCGCUACAUCUUGUUGUGGUACUCUUCCACCGCGUGCCUGCGCGCCGCCUAGUGAGUCCAGGGUAUCGUCUAAUGCGUCUGGGCUAUCGCAAAAUUUCGAAUUUGUAAUCGUUAGUCUGUACUCGAACUUAUGUGUGGGUCUGUAUGUCGAACUCAACUACUAUGGAGUAACUAUCGCAUUUCCCUUUCAUUAUGCUUGAUUACUUCGUGAAUGUGUGCGAUGCCUUUGCAAUUACUUUAAGCUAAACUACCCCUGUUAAAUAUUUAACAGGAUGGUUAGACCAGCUGGCCGCCCGCGUGCCCCUGCCAACGAUGCACCACCCCCGCCUCCUGAGUAUAUGGCGGGGAUGAUCCAACAGUUUGAGCUGAACCGUCAGUUUAUGCAAGGGCUCAUGGAUCAGUUCCAAAGGCCGAACAUGAACCAACCACAAGGCGUGACACUGCAAGACUUCUGCCGCCUCAACCCUGCGAUCUACCGCAGCUCAACUCAGCCUCUUGAUGCCGAUGACUGGCUCCGUGACAUUUCUUAUGAGCUGGAGUGUGCCAAUGUGCCCCAGGCGAGCUAUGUCAACUUUGCCGCCUACUUUCUGAAGGGUCCCGCUGCUCAAUGGUGGGACAGCCACAGGCGCUCUCAGCCCGAUGGAACUAUCAUCACUUGGGCAGAGUUCAAGGCUCCUUUCCGUGCUCGCUACAUUCCCUAGGGAAUCAUGGACUAGAAGAAGCGUGAGUUCCGCAACUUGGUCCAGGGCAACAAGACUGUGGAUGCUUAUCAGCGGGAAUUUCUCGACUUAUCUCGCUAUGCUGAAGAAGACAUUGCAACUGAUGCACGCAGGCAGGAGAAGUUCCGUGAAGGCCUCCACCCUGAUAUCAAGCUGACACUCCUCGUUCAGGACUAUGCUGAUUUCGCCACCCUGGUGAACAAGGCUAUUCAGGUUGAGACUGGUCUGCAGGAAUACAAAGAUAGCAGCAAGCGCAACCGUGACAUGGGCUCAUCUUCGGGCUCAUGUGCACAGAAGCGAAAGAUCUGGAUUCCCAACAACAUGUACCAUGCACCUGCUCCUGCUCCGAGGCUGUCCUAUGCUGCACCUCGCCUACCUCCUCCACCACCUAGGCAGCCGAGGCUUCCAGCUCCACCGCCUCGAGUUCCUCCUUCCCGUCCUGAGGACGGGCUGUGCUUCAAGUGUGGCCGUCCAGGUCACCGUGCUAGAGACUGCAGGCAGAAUCCGAAUCAGCUGACACUUCCCGCAACUGGCAGUGGCAACAACCAGAACCGCAACUUCAACGCUAAGCCUGCUUAUGUUCGUGGUCAGGCCAACAACAUUGAUAUGGGUCAAGCUCAAGACCAGCCUACUACCGUGAUGGGUACACUUCUCGUUAACUCAGUACCUGCUUCUGUAUUGUUUGAUACAGGAGCAUCACAUUCCUUUAUGUCGGAAAGUUUUGCAUUCAUGCAUGGCAUUAAGUACGAAGAGAUGAACGUCCCAAUAGUUGUAAACACCCCCUCGGGCCAAUGCCGACCCUCCAUGGUCUGCUCCAAUGUCCCAUUGAAAUUGAAGGAUUGGAAUUCUUUGCCUCUCCCAUGUUAUUAAGUUCUUCCAACAUUGAUCUCAUACCGGGGAUGGACUGGUUUAAAGCUCAUACGGCAUCGGUCGUUUGUGCCACCAAGACCGUCCACCUCCUACACCCUUCAGAUGAAUUAAUAAGCUACCAUGCUCAUCUCGUCCGUAAUGCUGAGGCACGGUUGUAUGCUUUGAAUGCAUUAAAUGCGUCGCCUCUUGAAGGGAUUGAAAACAUCCCAGUGGUCCGAGAAUUUCAAGAUGUCUUCCCAGAAGAACUUCCGGGGAUUCCCCCUACUCGAGCUGUCGAGUUUGUCAUUGACUUGGUACCCGGUACCACUCCUAUUGCAAAGCGCCCUUAUAAAAUGCCACCACAUGAACUCCUUGAACUUAAGCAAGAAAUUGACAACUCGCUCCGUCUGGGUUUCAUCCGUCCGAGUUCCUCUGCUUGGGGAGCACCUUCUCUCUUUGUUAAGAAGAAGGAUGGGACAAAUCGAUUGGUUCAAGACUAUCGUCCUAUCAACCAGGCCACUAUUCAAAACAAAUAUCCUCUCCCUCGGAUAAAUGAUUUGUAUGAUCAACUUGCUGGUUCCACCGUCUUCUCUAAGCUCGACUUGAGGUUGGGAUACCACCAGAUCCAUGUUCGCAAGGAGGAUAUUCCAAAGACCGCCUUUGUUACUCGAUAUGGAUCAUACGAGUACACCGUCAUGUCCUUCGGCUUAACCAAUGCACCGGCAACCUUCUCUCGAUUGAUGAAUUAUAUAUUCAUGGACUACCUCGACAAAUUUGUCAUGGUAUAUCUGGAUGAUAUUCUGGUAUUUUCGAAGAACAAAGAAGAGCAUGCUGAACAUCUUCGUCUUGUACUGGAUAAGCUUCGGGAGCAUAAACUCUAUGCGAAGUAUUGCAAAUGUGAGUUCUGGCUAGACGAAGUGACUUACCUUGGUCAUGUGAUUUCCAAGGAUGGUAUUGCGGUCAACCCCGAACGAAUUCAAGCUAUUCUUGUCUAGACUCCCCCGAAGAAUGUUAAGCAAGUCAGAAGUUUUCUCGGACUCGCCAGCUAUUGCCGUCGAUUUGUCGAGAACUUCUCCAAGAUUGCGAAGCCCUUAACCAAUCUGCUUCACAAAGGUGUUAAGUAUGAGUGGACUGAUAAAUGUCAGGAAAGUUUCCAGGCGCUCAAGGACAAACGUACGUCCGCUCGAGUACUUGCUCCUCCAGAUACGAAAAGGGAUUUCGUCAUAUACUGUGAUGCUUCUCGUCAAGGAAUAGGUUGUGUCCUAAUGCAGGAUCGCAAGGUGAUCGCUUAUGCUUCACGUCAACUGCGUGCUCAUGAAGAGAACUACCCAGUUCAUGAUCUCGAGCUUGCCACAGUCAUUCAUGCAUUGAAGGAAUGGUGACAAUACCUUGUCGGUAAUCGCUGUGAAAUCUACACCGACCAUCAAAGUCUGAAGUACUUGUUCACUCAACCGGAGCUGAACCUACGUCAACAAAGAUGGAUGGAGCGUAUAGCAGAUUUUGACUGUAGUAUAUCAUAUACCCCUGGCAAGGCUAACAUAAUGGCUGAUGCCUUGAGUCGCAAGUCAUACUGCAACCACCUCCAGGUUCAUAAGGUUCACGAUCGUCUGCAAGAGGAAUUCCGUAAGCUGAACCUCCACGUUGUUCCUCAGGGUUACCUUGUUCCCCCUCCUGAAGAGUGUCAAAAUAUGAACCUUCGUGUUGUUAAUCAGGGUUCCCUCAGUAACCUAGUGGUUGAACCAGAUCUUGUGAGCUCCAUAAAGAAUCUGCAAGGCUUUGACGAUGAUGUCGACAUGAUUAAGAGCUAUAUUGCGAAGGGUAAACCCUCCUUUUUCACUGUUGAUGAAGAUGGCGCCUUGUAUUUCAAGGGUCGCCUAUUCGUCCCAAAUAAGAAGGAAAAUCUCAGGAUGACCGGGAAGGUGAUGGAAGAAGCUCAUGACACACCAUUGUCUAUUCACCCGGGUAGUACCAAGAUGUACCAAGACAUCCGGCAAAGAUUCUGGUGGCCCAAUAUGAAACAAGACAUUGCAUGCUAUGUGGCAGAAUGUGAUAUAUGUCGGCGUAUCAAAGCAGAACACCAAAAGCCUGCUGGGACUCUGCAACCUAUCUCUAUUUCGGAGUGGAAAUGGGACCAUGUUGAAAUGGACUUUGUCACUGGUUUUCCCAGAUCUCAGAAAGGUAAUGAUGCUAUUCUUGUCGUCAUUGAUCGACUGUCCAAAGUUGCACAUUUCCUGGCCGUCAAAGAAACAAUUAAUGCUAGUCAGCUGGCAGAUCUUUAUAUGUCAAGAGUUGUUUCACUUCACGGUAUUCCGUUGGUAAUCAGUUCGGACCAUGGCAGCUUGUUCACUUCAAAAUUCUGGGAAAGUUUUCAGAAGGCUAUGGGGACUCAUCUGUCCUUCAGCACUGCAUUUCAUCCUCAAUCCCAGGGACAAGUUGAACGAGUCAACCAAAUUCUCGAGGACAUGCUUCGAGCUUGUGUCAUUUAUUUCGGUAAGAAAUGGGAGGAAUAUCUCCCGUAUGCCGAGUUCUCUUACAACAAUAGCUAUCAAGCUAGUCUGAAGAUGGCCCCUUUCGAAGUAUUGUAUGGGCGAAGGUGUCGAACUCCUCUGAAUUGGUCAGAAAUUGGGGAACGAUCACUCUUCGGUCCAGAUAUUAUUCAACAUGCCGAAGAUCAAGUCUGCAUUAUUCAUGAGAAUCUGAAGGCUGCUCAGUCUCGUCAGAAGAGUCAGUAUGACCGUCAUCAUCAAGAUAUGGUCUAUCAACCUGGCGAAAAGGCUUAUCUUCGUGUCACACCAAUGAGAGGUGCACACCGUUUCGGAAUCAAGGGCAAGUUAGCUCCUCGUUAUAUUGGUCCUUUCACUGUUAUCGAAAGGCGUGGAAGAGUGGCUUAUCAAUUGGAACUGCCGGCGAACCUUUCUCAGGUUCACGAUGUCUUCCAUGUUUCUCAGCUCCGUCGCUGCUUCAAGGACCCUAUUCGAGCAGUGGAUCACGAUAUGCUUGAGCUACAACAAGACCUCUCUUAUAAAGAGCAUCCGGUCCGCAUUCUUGACCAAGCUGAACGUAAGACUCGUCGCAAGGUCACCAAGUUCCUUAAGGUGCAGUGGUCAAAUCACUCUGAAGAUGAAGCCACUUGGGAACGCGAGGAUCAUCUUAGUGAUGAAUACCCCAGGCUCUUUCCCUCUACCUCUUAAUUCUCGGGACGAGAAUUCUUGUUAGUAGGGGAGAAUUGUGACAUCCUCGACUUUUGCUACAGUAAAUAUUGUAAUUAAGCUACAGUGAUCACCCGCUAAUGAUGCCACAUCAUCGAGAAUUACCGUCGUUGACCCGCAUUGAAUUUCUAUCCGGAUUCAGAAAUUGAAAACAAAAGAAAAGUAUAUUUAUAAAUUCAUAUUAACUAUUAAAGGAAGACAUGUAUAGAAAGAAAGUAUUAAAAAUAAUAAUAAUAAAAGAAAGAAAAGAAAAGAAAUUAAAAAAAGGAAAUUAGAAAGAGGAAAUAAUAGAAAAAGAAAAAAAACAAAAAAAAAGAAAAAAAAAGAAAAAA